Molecule: unclassified non-coding RNA, 387 nt
Filed under: Hevea brasiliensis (rubber tree)
Lineage: Eukaryota; Viridiplantae; Streptophyta; Magnoliopsida; Malpighiales; Euphorbiaceae
Source: RNAcentral
UCGGAUCUGCCAUUGGCGUAGGGGUUAGGGGCUAGAUCUGGAGAUCUGGGGGGCGAUUCGGCCUGCGAGGGGGAUUUUGCGGUGAUUACGAGAUACAUAUAGGAUGGAGCAUUGCCCGGCUAAACUCAAUACCUCGGGUCAGCUAUACCCAGAGAGCAUGACUGAUAUGAAAUCAAGAUUUUGGCAGAUUAGUAAUCAAUCACUUCCAAGAACUGAAGUUAUCUGUCCUCAACCUCGUCAUGCUACUAGGGUUUCUUUUUUCAUAGAUAGUGUUAACCGAUUCGGACCCAAGCCAAAAGGUGCUCUGCCUAUGUAUAGAGGUGAUUGUGGUCUUGAGAUCCUAGACAUUAACCGGAGCAUGGAUGAUUCUGAAUGGGAUCUCGAGGG